UGAAUAAAGCAUUAGUAAAUGAUAGGCAAUGAAAUUCAAUGGGAUGCUGAACACAGGAUUCACUUGAAUUGGAUGGACACUGGAAUGACGACCAAUGACAAGGAUUUAGUCUCUAUGCAUAAAUUGUUGAAAGGAUUUUCCUUGUUGAAAAUAUACGGUUGUGAAGGUGAAGAGACUAUAACAAAUGCAAAGAGAUCAGCAGAUAAUGUACCUGGAGAAGGAUUAAUAGAUUGGUUUGCUGGUUUUCAAUCUGCAUAAGCUGGUCACAAAUCAAAGACAGAUCCUCAAUAUCUUUAUUGUUCUCAAAGAAUUCUUCAUUGGGAUUGUUGACCUCAACAUCUUUGUUGUAACGGUUAUCAUCAUCAUUGAAUGGAACCACCCUCGACCUAGAUCUCAAACCACCUAAUUUGUGCUGUUUAUCUUCUCGGAUUCUACUGCACAGGACAAGUUUUGCUUCUGGCCUAAAUUUCUCAUUGUUUGGGUCCUCCCUUGAUUCCGAAACUCCAUAACUGCACCUUUUGAUAUCAUCUCCACAGCCGGCGUCAUGAGAUAGAACAAUUUCAGUUUUCCAGGCAGAGGUUUUCUUGUGGUCCAUUUUACAACUCAUUGCUGUCUUUGAAUUGUCAUUUUUACUCUUUACAGGGUUUUGUUUUCUGGUAGUGGUCACAGACGAAGAAUCAAAUUGGGGGGACCUGUUUGCGGGGACUGUUUUCUUUGGUUGAGGAGAUUUGAAACCGACUUCAUGAGAAUCAUCCGAGUCAGAAGGGAAACAUUCACCAAUAGCAUUAUCUGGUGCUACUGAAGAAGAUUUAGAUUGAGAUGAUACUGAAACUUGGUCAGAGACUCCAGGAACUUCCUUCCACAGCUCCAAGGUACGAUUCAUAGUCUCCCGAACCGCCUUCACCUUAUCAAAUCUCCUGCUCUCCAGAGAACUCAAGCACGCUACUCUAUGUUCCUUCGAUAGCUCCUUUUCCGCUAGGGUCACCUUCCCCAACGCCUCCGCCGCCGCCUUUCUGGCUGCCCAAUCCUCACUGCUCAGAAACUGCAGCAAACAUGGUACUAACCAAUCCAACACGCCCUUACUCGAAGCGCCGCCAACGCCAAUGAUAUUCCCGAUCACAGUCAACAGCGCUGCCUUCGCUCUAAAUCCCUCGCCCUUCACCAACUUCCCCAGCCUCGGCAACACCCUCCUCAAGUGCUCCGCUUCUGGCUCCGGCGCCGCCUCAAUAGCGGCGGCCAAACACAUGGAGGCACCGACCUGAGCAUUAAAAUCCUGCUCAAGCGUUAACAGCUCAAUAAACGGCUUUGACAGAGUAGAAAACGGCGGCUUGGUGAUCUGCGAGGACAUAGCAGAGGUGGCCUCGACGCAGGCGGAUCGGACUGCAGAGUCAGGGUCGCGGAGGCGGCGAGUGACGGUGGAGAUCAUUUUGGAGAGGUGGGGAGAGAGGGAGUUGCCGUGGGAGUUGGAGAGGAGGGUCAAGAGGUUGACGCAUUGCUUGCGAACGGGAGACUUAGAGGAGGAAUCGGUAUUGUGAAUGCAGUUGAGGAAAGGGAAGAAGGAGUCGUGGUUGAGGUUCUUGGCGAUGGACUCGAGCUCGGUGGUGGCGAGAGAGAGAGUGGCACGGUCGGAGAGCUUGUUGAGGCAGGUGAUGACUCGGUGCUUGAGAUCGUUGGCGGUUGAAGCAGGAGUAGGUGGAGAUCUUUUCUCGGGAGACAUUGUGUGAUGAGGCUGAAUUUGUGGGUUUGUUGUGUCUAUCUCAGUGGGGUGUGCAUUGAGUCACUGAGUAGCUGGUAGUGACGGUGGAGAUGUUUGUUAUUAGUAGCAUUUAGCAAAGACCGUACGGUGCUUCCAUGGAUAUUUAAUUUCUGAAGAACGGGGGCAAGGGAAGGGGGCUGUG
RNAcentral lists this unclassified non-coding RNA (1898 nucleotides) under Hevea brasiliensis (rubber tree). The record is from RNAcentral. Lineage: Eukaryota; Viridiplantae; Streptophyta; Magnoliopsida; Malpighiales; Euphorbiaceae.